Molecule: ribosomal RNA, 633 nt
Filed under: uncultured bacterium
Lineage: Bacteria
Description: bacterial SSU rRNA
Rfam family: Bacterial small subunit ribosomal RNA
Source: RNAcentral
GAAAGCCUAGAUCUUAUCUAGUACGGUACACGAUGGGUCCGCGUCUGAUUAGGUAGUUGGCGGGGUAACGGCCCACCAAGCCCACGAUCAGUAGCCGGCCUGAGAGGGCGGACGGCCACACUGGGACUGAGACACGGCCCAGACUCCUGCGGGAGGCAGCAGUGGGGAAUAUUGCACAAUGGGGGGAACCCUGAUGCAGCGACGCCGCGUGAAGGAAGAAGUAUCUCGGUAUGUAAACUUCUAUCAGCAGGGAAGAAAGAGGACGGUACCUGACUAAGAAGCCCCGGCUAACUACGUGCCAGCAGCCGCGGUAAUACGUAGGGGGCGAGCGUUAUCCGGAUUUACUGGGUGUAAAGGGAGCGUAGACGGCCAUGCAAGCUCGGUGUGAAAGGUGCGGGCACAACCCGCAGACUGCACUGAGAACUGUAUGGCUGGAGUGCCGGAGGGGCAGGCGGAAUUCCUGGUGUAGCGGUGAAAUGCGUAGAUAUCAGGAGGAACACCGGUGGCGAAGGCGGCCUGCUGGACGGCGACUGACGUUGAGGCUCGAAAGCGUGGGGAGCGAACAGGAUUAGAUACCCUGGUAGUCCACGCCGUAAACGAUGUAUACCAGGUGUCGGGCAUCAAGGAUGGCCG